RNAcentral lists this long non-coding RNA (1058 nucleotides) under Arabidopsis lyrata. RNAcentral's name for it is "long non-coding RNA (ALYR_LNC000397)". Lineage: Eukaryota; Viridiplantae; Streptophyta; Magnoliopsida; Brassicales; Brassicaceae. The record is from RNAcentral.
UAAUUUCCAAAUCACCUUUUUUUUUAUUUCUCCUCUCUACGACUUUUUCAUCUUUUUCGUUUCUCUCUGUCCCGAGUCAACAAUCCGACAAACACAAAGCUUUCAAUCUCUUUUCUUCUUCUUCUUUCUUCUUUUUUUUUUCUCUCUUUUCUCGAUUCCAUCGAUACUCAUUCAUCUUUUUCAUCUUCCCUCUUCACUCGUUUCUAUCGAUCCAAAGAUCCGUCCUCUCUCUUCUUCUUCGUGAGAAAUUCGCAGUGAAAUCGAGAAAUCCGCCGUGAGAACUCCGUCGUGUCUUCUCUUUGUAAGAUUUCAUUUGUUUGAUCCCUAAUUUUGUUUUAUUGUGUUAGGUUUAAUUAGGAUUUGAUUUCUUCCAAUUUCUUCUUCUCUGUGAGGGUUUGAUAUGUAAUUCUCUUUGAUUUUGUUUGAAACAAAUGCAUUUUGAAUGGAAUUUCGAUUACAAUUAGGAUUUUUUAUGAUUACAGUUCGGAUUUUAAGAUUACUAAUAGGAUUUGAAUUACAAUUCGGGUUUGAAAUUCGGACCACAUGUAGCUACUUUUUCUUGUUUUUAUUUGGAGAUAUUGAGUGAAAGUUGUAACUUUGUUUGUAAACUCUUCUUAAAAUGAUUGAUUUCUCUUGGUCAAUUUUGGAAGAAAUCUGGUUUCAAGUAAGUUAAUAAGGAGUGGAUUGCAGACAUAGAUGAAAUUUUUUGUACGUAUAUAUUAGCCUAUAACAUUUGUUUCUCUAUUACGAGAGGAGGAAAAGGAAAAGGAGACUGAGACUGAGACUGAGACUGAGAAGGAGAAGGAGAAAGAGAAGGAUAAGGAGAAGAAGAAGCAGAAGAAGACUUGGUGUGUUCAGAUGUGUUUUGGUUUCUAAUGUUAUGUAUGAAUCUAAGUGUUUAGGUACAAAUGGUACACUUAUGUACAACUAUGUAUCUGGGUUUGUAUGAAUCUAAGUUUUUUUGACAGAAAAAUCACCAAAAAACUAUGAGUCAAAGUGUUUUGAUGAAAAAAUUCACAACAACACUAUGAAUCUACUAAGUAUGUUAAAAAAUAUAU